Castor canadensis (American beaver) is the source of this 1961-nucleotide non-coding RNA. The record is from RefSeq and is a predicted model, not a curated record. NCBI's taxonomy places the organism in Eukaryota, Metazoa, Chordata, Mammalia, Rodentia, Castoridae.
GAGAGAGAGGAGAGAGGAGAGAGAGAGAGAGAGAGAGAGAGAGAGAGAGAGAGAGAGAGAGAGAGAGAGAGAGAGAGAGAGACACGAGUGGCCAGGCCCAGCCGCAGCCGCAGCAGCAGCCGCCGCGGCGGCACGGACGAGCCAGACACAAAGAGAGGGGCCGUUUGCGGGGUGGGGUGGGGGGUUCGCUAUGUCGGAUGACGAUUCGAGGGCCAGCACCAGCUCCUCCUCAUCUUCGUCCUCCAACCAGCAAACCGAGAAGGAAACCAACACCCCCAAGAAGAAGGAGAGUAAAGUCAGCAUGAGCAAAAACUCCAAGCUGCUCUCCACCAGCGCCAAGAGGAUUCAGAAGGAGCUGGCGGACAUCACUCUGGACCCUCCACCCAACUGCAGGUGAGCUGUCCCCUCUGCAGUCCCCACCUGUCCCGGGACUCCCUGCGGUGCGGGAGACCUUCCCUCCCUGUGCGGUUCCCUGGUUUUGAUGGGCUAAGCUGAAAUUUAUCAGCCCGAGUGGUAAUGUCUUGAUGAACCUUUGACAAGCGCACUGGAGAAAAGAUUUGUUUGGAGUGUGCACUGUGCUGUUCGUGAAGGAAACUCGGAGUAAAUCUGUAGCAAGCACCCCCGCCUCCUGGCUCUGAUGCGUUAUUUAAGGGUGAGUGGCAGAACCAUUUAGGUACACGUUGGUGUAGAGAACUGUUUGCUGUAGCCAUCUCUUAGCCAAGCCCUGCUAAGCUAAUGGAACAGAGAAUUAAACACUGGAUCAGCAAACUUACUACACUGAUUGUAAUUUUGUGUUGGACUUUUGGCAGAGCAAUUCCGGAAAUAAUUUGUGGCUUUGAUAAAAGGAUUUUGUUUUAAAUUAUAGAUUUAAACUCUCACAAAGUGGUGUUUUUCCUUGAUAUUGCUUCAUUCAGACUGUAAAUAUAUGUGUGUGUGUUUCAGUUUCAAAACAACUUGAAACCACCUUUGAAAAGGUUUGUUGGUCACUCUUAGACUAGCAUUUUGCUACUGUUGAGGCAGGGUGGAAAGAGUUGGUGACAUUAAUCCAUCAGCAGUGAUUCAUGAGCAGGGACUCUCAUUGUUCACUUCUAUAACCUCCAUAGCUUCAAAGUGGAAUGUAGGGUUUAACUUCUGAGGAUCACCACUGGAAUUGCCUGUGAGCUUUCUUCAGUGUUCUGAACUUGUAGGUGAGGGUAGAAGUUACAAGAACUAUUCAGUGGCCAUACGUAGAAUUUAAGACAAAUAUGUGAAAGUGUUCAGGUUGGAAGCUAUAUGGACUAUUUUGCUUAUUAAUACUAAACUUUCUACGCUGUGAUUAGCGGAUUGAACAUGAGCUUUUGUAUUGAUAUUUUGACUACAUGUGUUCUUAAUGCUGAUCAGGUGUGCGAUGCUCUUUGGUGGAAUUUUGUCCUGUUUUGUGAGGAGAGUCUUUUUGAGUUCAGAAUGCUCUUAAGUUGAGUUUAUGAUGGAACCACUUAAUCAUUCUUGAAGAGUUCCCUCAUGGCUUAUAAAGAUCUUUUCAGAUGGUUGAGAAAGUGGGGGAGUAUCAGCAAUUGAUGGACUUUGCUUUCAGUCCCUUGCUGUUGGUGGAAUCCGUAGACAUUCCCGGGUGGAGCUGUGCCUCUCCUCUGUGUGUCUCCUGUGGUUCAGCAGCUCUCGCUGGUCAAAUUAUAAGGCAUAGCUUCAAAUUAGUCAUUUAUUAAAACAUACAAUGAGUGCUAUCACAUUUAAAAUUGUAAACAGUUAAAGAUUUUCAUUUUUAAAAAUAGAGUAAGUACCCUUGAGUUCCACAGCAUUUUAGCUGAGUUCAUAGCUGAGACAUUUGUGAUUCUGAGGCAUGUAGAACGUUUGUAUCUUUGGAACACCCACCUUAUCACCCCUUUUAGGUAAACCUUUAAGCAUUACCUGUGGUCACAGGGAAACCCUAAUUUGAAUGGCUAUUGGGUGAUGAGGAGACAAAC